AAAAGAUAAGCUAAGUUUAAGCUAUUGGGUUCAUACCCCAUUUAUGAGAAACCUCUCUUUUUAA
Molecule: transfer RNA, 64 nt
Filed under: Cassidinae sp. ACP-2018
Lineage: Eukaryota; Metazoa; Arthropoda; Insecta; Coleoptera; Chrysomelidae
Description: tRNA-Met
Source: RNAcentral